GUGGGGAAUAUUGGGCAAUGGGCGAAAGCCUGACCCAGCAACGCCGCGUGAGGGAAGAAGGCCUUCGGGUUGUAAACCUCUGUCCUUGGUGACGAAAAAAAUGACGGUAGCCAAGGAGGAAGCCCCGGCUAACUACGUGCCAGCAGCCGCGGUAAUACGUAGGGGGCGAGCGUUGUCCGGAAUUACUGGGCGUAAAGGGUGCGUAGGUGGCCUUUUAAGUUGGAUGUGAAAUACCCGGGCUUAACUUGGGGGGUGCAUCUAAUACUGGAGGGCUAGAGUGCAGGAGAGGGAAGCGGAAUUCCUAGUGUAGCGGUGAAAUGCGUAGAUAUUAGGAGGAACACCAGUGGCGAAGGCGGCUUUCUGGACUGUAACUGACACUGAGGCACGAAAGCGUGGGGAGCAAACAGGAUUAGAUACCCUAGUAGUCC
Molecule: ribosomal RNA, 428 nt
Filed under: uncultured bacterium
Lineage: Bacteria
Description: partial 16S ribosomal RNA
Rfam family: Bacterial small subunit ribosomal RNA
Source: RNAcentral